Molecule: long non-coding RNA, 209 nt
Organism: Hibiscus syriacus
Lineage: Eukaryota; Viridiplantae; Streptophyta; Magnoliopsida; Malvales; Malvaceae
Exons: 2
Source: RefSeq, a predicted model, not a curated record
UGGUAAUAGGUCCUGUAGCUGAAGACAUGUUUCAUUGGCAAGCAACAAUCGUGGGCCCUUCCGAUAGCCCUUAUGCUGGAGGUGUAUUUUUAGUUACGAUUCAUUUUCCUCCGGACUACCCUUUCAAGCCUCCUAAGGUUGCAUUUAGGACCAAGGUCUUCCAUCCAAACAUCAACAGCAACGGGAGCAUUUGUCUUGAUAUCCUAAAA